Molecule: ribosomal RNA, 378 nt
Filed under: uncultured bacterium
Lineage: Bacteria
Description: bacterial SSU rRNA
Rfam family: Bacterial small subunit ribosomal RNA
Source: RNAcentral
AUUGAACGCUGGCGGCAUGCUUUACACAUGCAAGUCGAACGGCAGCACGGGGGCAACCCUGGUGGCGAGUGGCGAACGGGUGAGUAACACAUCGGAACGUGUCCAGUUGUGGGGGAUAACCCAUCGAAAGGUGGGCUAAUACCGCAUGAGAUCGAGAGAUGAAAGCGGGGGAUCGCAAGACCUCGCGCGAUUGGAGCGGCCGAUGUCCGAUUAGCUAGUUGGGGGGUAAAGGCCUACCAAGGCGACGAUCGGUAGCUGGUCUGAGAGGAUGAUCAGCCACACUGGGACUGAGACACGGCCCAGACUCCUACGGGAGGCAGCAGUGGGGAAUUUUGGACAAUGGGGGCAACCCUGAUCCAGCCAUGCCGCGUGAGUGAA